GAUGAACGCUGGCGGCGUGCUUAACACAUGCAAGUCGAACGGAAAGGCUCCUGCUUGCAGGGGUACUCGAGUGGCGAACGGGUGAGUAACACGUGGGUGAUCUGCCCUGCACUUCGGGAUAAGCCUGGGAAACUGGGUCUAAUACCGGAUAGGACCAUCGUUUAGUGUCGGUGGUGGAAAGUUUUUUCGGUGUGGGAUGAGCUCGCGGCCUAUCAGCUUGUUGGUGGGGUAAUGGCCUACCAAGGCGUCGACGGGUAGCCGGCCUGAGAGGGUGUACGGCCACAUUGGGGCUGAGAUACGGCCCAGACUCCUACGGGAGGCAGCAGUGGGGAAUAUUGCACAAUGGGCGCAAGCCUGAUGCAGCGACGCCGCGUGGGGGAUGACGGCCUUCGGGUUGUAAACUCCUUUCGCCAGGGACGAAGCGAAAGUGACGGUUCCUGGAUAAGAAGCACCGGCUAACUACGUG
Molecule: ribosomal RNA, 466 nt
Filed under: uncultured bacterium
Lineage: Bacteria
Description: partial 16S ribosomal RNA
Rfam family: Bacterial small subunit ribosomal RNA
Source: RNAcentral